GACGAACGCUGGCGGCGUGCUUAACACAUGCAAGUCGAACGGAAAGGCCCUGCUUUUGUGGGGUGCUCGAGUGGCGAACGGGUGAGUAACACGUGAGUAACCUGCCCUUGACUUUGGGAUAACUUCAGGAAACUGGGGCUAAUACCGGAUAGGAGCUCCUGCUGCAAGGUGGGGGUUGGAAAGUUUCGGCGGUUGGGGAUGGACUCGCGGCUUAUCAGCUUGUUGGUGGGGUAGUGGCUUACCAAGGCUUUGACGGGUAGCCGGCCUGAGAGGGUGACCGGCCACAUUGGGACUGAGAUACAGCCCAGACUCCUACGGGAGGCAGCAGUGGGGAAUAUUGCACAAUGGGCGGAAGCCUGAUGCAGCAACGCCGCGUGCGGGAUGACGGCCUUCGGGUUGUAAACCGCUUUCGCCUGUGACGAAGCGUGAGUGACGGUAAUGGGUAAAGAAGCACCGGCUAACUACGUG
Molecule: ribosomal RNA, 468 nt
Filed under: uncultured bacterium
Lineage: Bacteria
Description: partial 16S ribosomal RNA
Rfam family: Bacterial small subunit ribosomal RNA
Source: RNAcentral